Molecule: ribosomal RNA, 301 nt
Filed under: uncultured bacterium
Lineage: Bacteria
Description: partial 16S ribosomal RNA
Rfam family: Bacterial small subunit ribosomal RNA
Source: RNAcentral
CAGUCGCCGCGGUAAAACGUAGGUGGCAAGCGUUGCUCGGAAUGACUGGGCGUAAAGGGCGCGUAGGCGGCACACACAGUCAGGCGUGAAAUUCCUGGGCUUAACCUGGGGGCUGCGUUUGAUACAUGUGAGCUAGAGGAUGGAAGAGGCUCGUGGAAUUCCCAGUGUAGAGGUGAAAUUCGUAGAUAUUGGGAAGAACACCGGUGGCGAAGGCGGCGAGCUGGUCCAUUACUGACGCUGAGGCGCGAAAGCGUGGGGAGCAAACAGGAUUAGAUACCCAGUAGUCCCUGUCUCUUAUACA